This 497-nucleotide ribosomal RNA is filed under the name uncultured bacterium. RNAcentral describes it as "partial 16S ribosomal RNA". It matches the Rfam family "Bacterial small subunit ribosomal RNA", at positions 28 to 507 of the family's 1533-position model. The record is from RNAcentral.
GAUGAACGCUGGCGGCGUGCCUAAUACAUGCCAGUCGAGCGAACAGACGAGGAGCUUGCUCCACUGACGUUAGCGGCGGACGGGUGAGUAACACGUGGAUAACCUACCUAUAAGACUGGGAUAACUUCGGGAAACCGGAGCUAAUACCGGAUAACAUGUUGAACCGCAUGGUUCAACAGUGAAAGACGGUCUUGCUGUCACUUAUAGAUGGAUCCGCUCCGCAUUAGCUAGUUGGUAAGGUAACGGCUUACCAAGGCAACGAUGCGUAGCCGACCUGAGAGGGUGAUCGGCCACACUGGAACUGAGACACGGUCCAGACUCCUACGGGAGGCAGCAGUAGGGAAUCUUCCGCAAUGGGCGAAAUCCUGACGGAGCAACGCCGCGUGAGUGAAGAAGGUCUUCGGAUCGUAAAACUCUGUUAUUAGGGAAGAACAAAUGUGUAAGUAACUAUUCACGUCUUGACGGUACCUAAUCAGAAAGCCACGGCUAACUACGUG